Populus nigra (black poplar) is the source of this 2836-nucleotide long non-coding RNA. RefSeq lists it as uncharacterized. The record is from RefSeq and is a predicted model, not a curated record. NCBI's taxonomy places the organism in Eukaryota, Viridiplantae, Streptophyta, Magnoliopsida, Malpighiales, Salicaceae. The transcript is spliced from 3 exons.
CCUUCCCCCACACACCCUUAAUCAACAUCAUUAACAUUAAUCAAUCAUAACAAUGAAAAAAUUACCAAAAUUUAGCAAAAAUCACUACCCCAAGCUCUAAAUCCUACGGAUUACAAACACAAAAUCCAACCAUUUUCUUUUAAAAAACUAUACAAAGGAAAGCAAAUUUAAACCAACAAGAAUCUAAAUCAUCACAAAACCCCCCAAAAGAUUCAUAAUUUACAUGACCAAACAGAGAAAUCGAUCCAAACAAAAUAAUCCAAUUGACUCCAAUAAUUACAAAACUCCCCUGAAUGAGGAAAACACGUAAUCGAAAGAGGAAAGAAACUUGACAUAUGGGUUUGCUGUAAAGAGCCUGGAAGAGUAAGAAUCCGAGGAAGAUGCGUGAUGGUGUUUACGGCGGCGUUACGAGUGAGACUUACUGUUGUUACUACUUUUUCCGGAUCUUGGGAGCUUCUCUGUCCCAGCGAUUGCGGCAACGGCGACGGUUGCGAGAGGAAGGAGAGGAGGAAUCGGAGGACAGAGAAGAUGACGAGGCUGCCAUUGAUUGAUGGAUUGAUUAUGGUUUGGUGAUUGGGAGAUUUGAAAAGGGGAAGUCAGUUAUUGACGUCGUCGUGUGCUUCCCUGUGAAAACUGAAAAGUGGGGAUCCCGGUGGCCUUGAUCCAGGAAUCACCCUUUAGGAACCUUCCUGGUGUGAAAUCCAUGGCAUGCUGACGGUUGAUGGUCUUGAUUCCAUUCCACUUCACACGAAGAUUCUUGCUAGAACCAGGACCGUAGUUGUUGAAUUCUGUGUACCAACAAGUCUUGAGUCCGAAAGUUCCGAGCCAAGGCAACCAUCCUUCGGGCUGGAUGAGAUCGUCGAUAAAUGACUCCAUGAUGAUUGUUCUUGAGUAUUCCUUCCAUGGACGGCCGAGGUAUGACUUGAAUUGUUUCCUUUCAGGGAAUAGGUCAGGGUGAGCUGUGAUAGUGCUGUUUUGGAUGAUAAGAGCUGAUGGCUGCCUCCUCAUUUUCCUGCCUUGAGCAGUCACAAUGCACUGCUGGUUUUCCAAUGGCUUGCGGACCAAGAAUUUGCAGUUUUGGAAGACUGCAGAAGCAUCACCGAAGACGAAGUCAAUGGUGCCGGAGAUGCUGCAGUCACGGUAGAAUUGACGUUUGGCAUGUGUGUACAAUGUAUCCUGGUGUCCGUCCAUUGAGCAGUUGUAGAAGAUAGCGUAAUCAGCCGAAACUCUCAACGCCACAGCCUGAUGUUUGAUGGCACCAGCAUUGUUCUCGAAACCAAUAUUCUUGGCCACAAAGUUAUCUCCGAGGACAGCUGCAGGCAAUUCAUGAAAUUCCAGGACAUAUAUAAUAGUGGAAAUGUGUUAGAUUUGGGAAGAACAUAGAGAAUUCUCAAAAUAGAUCAGGCUUACAUACCGACUGUUGCGGUGUGGAAAGUGUUGAUUCCAUCGACAAAGUUCUUGUUUCCGAUGAUGCGAGUAUUUUCCCUGCCAUCUCCAAUCACCACCAAAUUAAUCAUGCCCUUACUGAUCUCAAGGUACUCUUGAUAAACUCCUGCCUUAAUGUGUAACACAAAGGCCUUUUUGCUCUUGAUGGGAACAUGUUUCAAUGCUUCUCUGAUAGUUGAGAAAUCUCCACUUCCAUCCUUAGCCACAACAAUGUCAGCCUUAAUCUUCGAAACGGGUGCAGCUAGGAGUCUGCGGGUUCCAAAGUCAGUCCACGUGGGGAAUUGAUCACCAUGGCCAAGAACAGGUAGAUCGUCUUGAAGAAGGCGGCGGUGGGUGAAACUUUCCAAUGAAGGGAUUGCGGAAGAGAUCCCGGAAACGAUGUCAAGGAGAUUGGCGCUAAGCUCCAUGCCCAGCUUCAUUCCCUUCUUCAUUUUCUUUCCAGCAUCAGUGGUUGUGUUUUCAAACCCGUCCAAGCAAGUCUCUUGAUAUGUGAUGGAAGCACUAAGCCAGGUCUUAACAUCUGCCAUCAUUGUCUCUAACUCGCUAAGAUCAAAAUCUGUUACUUUGUUAAGAGAUUGCUUGAGCUCACCAACAGACAUGUUCAGAAGCUCUUUGCAGCUCUGAAGAGCCCCUCGGGUUCUUGGAUCCUUUGAGAGUUCCUCCAAAAGCUUUGAUUUCUCGGAAGCCUCAUUAAUUUGCUUCUCUGCAAUCUUGAAUGCUAUUUUGAUCAACUCCUUAGGAUCGGUGGUGUUUCCAGCAGCUUUUUGGAGGCUUUCUUCACAUGUUUUUCUGUAAUCAGUGGGCUGGCAAAUGGCUUUGACGGCUUUCACCGAGGCAGAAACCUGAGUAGUGCUUUUAUGACUGCUGCCAUUGAGGUCGUCAUUACCGUCAUUGUUAAGGCCAACGCCAACGGUCACAGCUACAACCAUAGCUACCAAGAGCAUAGAAGAGACGCCGAUAAUGGCCAAUCUCCUCUUUCUCUUAGAAUCAUCAUCCCCCUGCUAAAGGCUCAAGAAAGAGGGGUAAAGCUCAGUUAAUUAGCCUUCCCCUUAAUUUGAAACCUGAAGGACCAAGUUGAAGUGAUCUUAGAAAGAGCAAUAUAUAUUUAUAAGAGACUUGAAGAAAGAUAGGCUUCCAAAGUUAGUCAAGUCUGUUACAAAAUUUGAGGCACAGAGGAAAAGAGACAACCAAAGACAAGCUAGAACAUUGUCGUUGUUUUCUAAAUAUGGAGCUUCACCGCUUGAAGUUUCGAGGAACAUUUUUAUUGGUGUUUCGUCUUAAUUUUAGGACAUUGACCAAUUAUCUGUAGCUGUUCUAAUGAUGGAUAAAUGGUUGGUAAAUGCUCGUACUCUACCAUCUAGCAUAUACACCAUCCAUAUUUUAAGAAAAA